UGGGGGAAUAUUGGGCAAUGGGGGAAACCCUGACCCAGCAACGCCGCGUGAAGGAAGAAGGCUUUCGGGUUGUAAACUUCUUUUACCAGGGACGAAGAAAGUGACGGUAGCUAAGGAGCAAGCCACGGCUAACUACGUGCCAGCAGCCGCGGUAAUACGUAGGUGGCAAGCGUUGUCCGGAAUUACUGGGUGUAAAGGGAGCGCAGGCGGGGGAGCAAGUCAGCUGUGAAAUCUAUGGGCUUAACCCAUAAACUGCAGUUGAAACUGUUCUUCUUGAGUGAAGUAGAGGUCGGCGGAAUUCCGAGUGUAGCGGUGAAAUGCGUAGAUAUUCGGAGGAACACCGGUGGCGA
This 350-nucleotide ribosomal RNA is filed under the name uncultured Eubacterium sp. RNAcentral describes it as "bacterial SSU rRNA". It matches the Rfam family "Bacterial small subunit ribosomal RNA", at positions 354 to 718 of the family's 1533-position model. Lineage: Bacteria; Bacillati; Bacillota; Clostridia; Eubacteriales; Eubacteriaceae. The record is from RNAcentral.